Molecule: non-coding RNA, 10887 nt
Organism: Callithrix jacchus (white-tufted-ear marmoset)
Lineage: Eukaryota; Metazoa; Chordata; Mammalia; Primates; Cebidae
Source: RefSeq, a predicted model, not a curated record
GGGGAGGUGGGGAGGGAUAGCCUGGGGAGAAAUGCCAAAUGUGGGUGAAGGGGAGAAGGAAAGAAAAGCACACUGCCAUGUGUGUUCCUACACAACUGUCUUACAUGCUCUGCUCAUGUACCCCAAAACCUAAAAUCCAAUAAAAAAUUAAAAAAAAAAAAAAAGAAUACAGAAGCUUUGUUUCCCACUGGGCUGUCAGUGAGGAAAAGGAGGAAAGACAGAUUAGCUGGGGACGAUGACGGCUCUAAAGCAAAGCCAUUCUGUGAGGCUGAAUGAUGGACACUUCCUUCGAAAGCUGGGGUGUGGCACUUACGCUCCCGAUCACAUAAGUGGACCCCAGGGGGUCUGAGGUUUGUUAGGUCAGCUGUAUUUGUACAUGUAGUAAUUUUUCGUUUCAUUUCAGACCAGCACCUGGUAGACAGCGGAAGCUUGGAAAGGCUCAUCUGGGCUUCCAUUUAACUGACUCCAAGGUCACAGAGAUUUUUGUACUAAGUAGCACAGCAAACUAUUGACUAUGGGGAUUCUGAGAUUGAUAAUUUUGUGGGUAUAUUAUCUUUCUUACUAUUAAAAAUGUCAAUGUUACCUAACAUAUCAAAUGCUUUCUAUGUGUUUUACAUGCAUUAUUUUACCUAAUUCCUUAACAACUGGCCUAGGUAAGUACUCAGUAAAAUUUGUUGCAUUUUAAAAGUCCAAGCUCAGGCUGCUCUCACCUUCUGCUCUGGUCAGAGUCACUCUGCUCUUGGUUAGAAACGUGAAGGGCCAAGGGCCCGAGGGGGUGAAAAGCCGAAGUAAAUACUUAGUGGCAGCUUUGCCGUGAGGUUGUUGGUGCUGGAAGUAUUUGGCAGAGAGUUUCAACCAUCUAAACUUCUGUCAUAUAAGAAGCCACUGUGAUUCUGUUACAGGACCAUCAGUAUGUUAAAAAUGUAGUAGUCUUUCAUUUUGAGGUAUGACCAGAAGUUUUUUGUCUUAUGACCAAGAAAAUGAAGGAUUCUGGACACGAAGGGUGAGGGUGGAGUUAAAAUUUAUUAAGUGAAGGAAGACAGUUUUCUGUAGCAGAGAGGAGGCCGGUAUGGAUUGCUAACUAUGAGCUCAGGUCUCAGGUUUGACGGACAGGGAAGGGAAAGAAUGUGUUGACUGGUCUUGGAGAAGGUGUAAUUCAGCUUGGCCUGGGACCUUGGUUUGGGGUCAAUCGGACACCGAAGUGAAAGUUUGGCCCAGGACCCUGGUCCAGGACUAACCAGGAGUUGAAGUGAAAUCUUGGCCUGGGACCUUGGCCCAGGAGCAAUCAGAUGCUGAUGUGAUGUUUCGUAAAGGCUCAUCUCAUACUUCACAUGUCCUCAGAAUGAAAGGAAAGUACCCACCAGAGUCUGUGUACAUGACCACAAAAGGGGAAGCGCUUCUAGAAGUGUGUUCGUUACAGAGGACGAACGCGUUUCUCUGUUGGGUCUUGUUCUCUGAAUACUGCAGUUGUUGGCAUGUAUUAGGCAGAAAAGACAAAGGUGUUUUUAUGUUGGGCCUUGUUUUUACCUGAGUGAGCCAGGGUUUUGUGUAAGUUUCCUUAUCUGCGUGUGUAGUCUGAUUUUUUUUAGGCUGUUUCUCUGUUCAAAGGAGUUUUACCAAGAACUCACUCUAACUGUUUAACUUUUUUCUCUCAUUUUUACCCUAAGGAGUGGAGUCCCUCAUUGUUGUUAGGGAGACUGGUGUUGUCUUUUCUGGCUAUUUCUUCUUGGAGGGUGGUGUCAGGUGGGGAAUAGUAGUUAGAGUUUUUCUUGGGGUUGGUUUAAGGGUCCUUGGAAGAAAGGUAUGUUUAUGUGUAGUGUUAUUAGUAUUAUUAUUCAGAGUUCGAUAGUUUUUAGGUGGGAAGAAAUAAUUUGGGCUAUUAGAGUAUAUGUAUUAAAAUGAAACAAGGGGGCAUAAGGAUAGUUUAAAAAUUCUGCGGUUGUUGGUAUGUCCUGAUAAUUGGUGGUUAUGCUUAUCUCUGUUAAGGUUUGGGAGUAUGAAAGCUUGGUUUUGGUUAGUUUUUUGGCCUUCUUUUCUCAAAUAAAGAAACCUCUGGGUUAUGAGUAUUCUAUUUAUUCUUAUGACCUGGUAGGAUUUGCAGGGCAAUUGUUCAGAACUAGGAUAUUAUUCCUAGCCAAAAUUCAUAUAUUUAUGUCUUUUUAUAAAAAACAUAUUUUACUGUUUUCAUAUACUUUGCAUGUGAAUUUAUUUAUAGAAGUCCCAAUUAUAUGUCACAAUGUUAAUCUUUAGUAAUCUUUAAUAUAAAACCUGGUAAGUUGUUGUAAUUAUGUAUUAGGCAUAAAGUCUGACUUUUUCUAGUAUAGUUACAGGUGUGGUUAUUUCCAUAUGUCCUCAGGUCUUAUUAAUUGUGAAGUAGGCAGUCUAACAGUUUUUAAAGGUCAAAGAAGUCAUUUUCCAUCUUAAAAUACUUAGUAAAUUUAGUAUAUGACUUGUGUAAUUUAGACCACAUGUUUAUAUCUUGAAGACAUUUGUCUUUUACCAAUACUUUUUAAGACUUUUUAUUUGUUAAAGAUUAAAGUCAUGUGAACUAAGAGGCAUUAUGGCUUUUACUUUUCCUUCAGAAUAUUUGGUGGUGUUGAUUUUUUUAGGUCAAUUAAUUAGAGUUCUUUUUUUUAUAGCUAGCACAUGCAUAACAUAUAUGUGACUAUAUAGUCAGAAGACCUAGUCGUGGUAAGAUUUUCUGUUUGUCAGUCUUUUAAUUGGAUUAUUGAUCUCAGGGUGAAAAUUUAGACAGAAAUGUUAAAUUCCCCUUUACAUUUCUAGGAAAUCAGAAAACCAGUACGUAUUUGAAUUACACUCCUGAUUACUACAACACCUGCUGAGUUUAGGCACAGGAAUAUAUCCACAGUUUGUAAACAUGCUGUCACAUUGUAUACAAAGAAGCACUGGAAGACAUGAGAGCCAUGAAAAAGGAGGAAAAUGCAGCAGGAAAUGCUGGAAGUUCUGGUGCCAACGCCCUGACAGGCGCUUGGGAACUGGAGCCAGUCCAGGGGCCUUCAGGUAACACUGAGGUGUAGCCUCCGCCAGAGACUUUCAGUUGUCUUAGGGCAUCUUUUCAGCUGCAUGUGACAGUGAGGGCUUCCACGAAAGGAAACUGGAGAACAGAGUUAACAUUCCAAAUACCUGAGGAUGAUGGGGAUUGAAAACGUCCCCUUCAGGAAGCCUGUCCCCUGAGUUGUAACGCUGGCAGCCGCCCUACUCACUGACAGGAACCCAGCGUCUCAUUUGCUCUUGAUAGAAAAAUAAAACUGAAGUGAAAGUAAAGACUUUGGAGGUCAGCUCCUGCUUACCCUUCCUGUGAACCCAUUCCCAGCCGAUGCACCAGAAAUAUUUUACCGUCUCAGCAAUGUACCAAAAACGUAGUAGUCUCUCGUUAGGUAUCAGCCAACCUUUUUUGACUUACAACCAAGAAAAUUAAGGGAUGUGGACACAAAGGGUGAGGUUAGAAGGCAAGUUUAAUAAGUGAAAGAAGAAACCUCUCUGUAGUAGACAGGGGGCCUGAAUGGGUUGUCAACUGUGAGGUUGGGUCUGGGUGUUUUUAACUGGGAAGAAAAGGAAUGUGUCGACUGGACUUGGAGAAUGUUACUCAACCUUGCCUUGGACCUAGGCCCAGGACCACUUAGAGACUGAAGGGGAAGUUUUGUCCAGGACCUUGGUCCAAGCCUGGCUGGGAGCAAUCAGAGGCUGAAGUGAUGAUUCUUAGAGGGUCAGCUCACAGUCAAAAGCAUGUCCAAAAAAGGAAAGGAAAGUGCCCACUAGAAUCCACCGUAGCCCCCAGUGUACACGUCCACAAAAGGCGAAGAGACUGUUUUCUAGAAACCUGUUGAUUCUACAAAGGACAAAGGCAUUUCUAUGCUGGGUUUUGUUCUCUUAUUAGUGUAGUUGUGGGCAUGUCUUAGGCAUAAAGGACAAAGGCGUUUUUGUGUCUUGUUCUUUUAUCCGAGAAGGCCAGAGACUUGAAUAAGUUUCCUCAUCUGUGUCGGCAGCCUUAUUUUUUCAGACCAUUUCUCUGUUUAAAGGAGUUUUACCAAGAACCUGCCCUAACUGACUAAGUUUUUUCUCUCAAUUCCACUCAUUAGAAAAUAGAAGGGAAGACUUAGGAGGUAUAACGUCCAAUAGGGACUAGAUUGUGCAUCUCACGAAAUACACUAUUCAGCCAUCCACUCAGUUGAUUGCAGGAAAAUUGAAGUGUCACUCUCUGGGCCUUGUGAGGUAAGGCCAGCUUUGGGGUUGCUUUGCAAGAAUUGCUCUAAAAAAUGACUGAACAAGUGCUUAAUCUUUGUAGAACUAUAACAUGAGACCUCAAUAGAAAACAGCUGUCAGAUGGGGCCAGUUGCUUUUCAAUUAUCCAUUUUAUCCCCUAAGUAUAAGGUAUGUCUAACAUAUGUUAUAUUACAUUUUUACAAUUGAUUCAUAUGGAAUGAGAUGUGAUUUUUUUUCCAUGCUCCAGGGUGAAGCCAAUUUCUCUAAUUUAUUUGGGAAUAGAAGUUAUGCUGGAGUUUAGUCAGCGUCCUCAGAGUACAGGUCUAUCACUGAAACUGCAUCAUCAAAAUUGGAGAAAGAGGCCAGCAGGAAACUGUCGGUGAAAAUGCUGUUGGGAAAAUGCAUUGAUUUUCUCUGAGUUGGGUAGAUCAUCAACUCUUCUUACUCCUGUCUUGUAGAUUUCCAAAAGCCAGGCUGCCGAGGCCACCAAAGUGGCUCUUGAUGUAGGCUUCUGCCAUAUUGAUUCAGCAUACUUGUACCAAAAUGAGGAGGAGGUUGGACAAGCCGUCUGAGAGAAGAUUACUGAUGGUAUCACAAAGAGAGAGGACGUAUUCUACACCACCAAGCCUUGGGCUACUUUCUUUCAGCCAGAAUACGUUCGCCCAGCCCCGGAAAGGUCACUGAAGAAACUUGGACUGCACUGUGUAGAUCUCUUCAUGAUUCACGUACCAUUCGCUAUGAAGGCUCAAAACUGGCAAGAACCUUGAAUCUGAGAUGAACUUUUGUAGUUUGGAAUUUUAAGUUGGUGCUGGACCAAGUUACAAGUUUUUGGAACUAUUGGGAUGAAAUGGUUACAUUUUGCAUGUAAGAAAGAUGUGAGGUUCAUGGGCCAAGGGUAUAAUGCUGUAAUUGGCAUAUCUGACCCUCCAAACCAUAUGCUGAAUUCUCAGUGUCACCGUUCACUGAUGAUGUGAUCCUUUGAAACCCCAAGGACUCCUUCAGAAAGCUCCUAGAACUGAUAAAAUCAUUCAGCAAAGUUUCUGUAUACAAGAUUGAUGUAAUCAGUGGCUCUUCUGUACAGCAACAGCGACCAAAUGGAGAAUCAAAUAAAUAAUUUAACCCCUUUCACAAUAGCCAAAAAAAAGAAAAAAAGAAAAAAAAGAAAUACUUAGGAAUAUAUCUCACCAGGGACUCAAAAGAACCUCUGCAAGGAAAACUACAAACACUACUGAAUGAAAUCAUAGACGACAUGAACGAAUGGAAACACAUCUCAUGCUCACGGAUGGGUAGAAUCAAUAUUGUGAAAAUGACCAUACUGCCAAAAGCAAUCUACAAAUGUAAUGCAAUCACCAUCAAAAUACCACCAUCAUUCUUCAUAGAAUUAGAAAAAAUGAUUUUAAAAUGUAUAUGGAACCAAAAAAGAGCCUGCAUAGCCAAAGCAAGACUAAGCAAAAAGAGCAAAGCUGGAGGCAUCACACUACCUGAUUUCAAACUAUACUAUAAGGCCAUAGUCACCAAAACAGCAUGGUACUGUUUUGGUACAAAAAUAGGCACAUAGACCCGUGGAACAGAACAGAAAACCCAGAAAUAAACCCAAAUGCAGCCAACUGAUCUUUGACAAAGCAAACAAAACAUAAAGUGGGGAAAAAAGACACCUUUUUCAACGAAGGUUCUGGGAUAACUGGCUAGCGACAGGUAGGAGAAUGAGACUGGGUCCUCAUCUCUCACCUUAUAAAAAAAUCAACUCACGAUAAAUUAAGGACUUAAACCUUAGACCUGAAACUACAAAAAUUCUAGAAGAUAACAUUGGAAAACCCCUUCUAGACGCUGGCUUAGGCAAGGAUUUCGUGACCAAGAGCCCAAAAGUAAAUGCAAUAAAAGCAAAGAUAAGUAUCUGGGACCUAAUUAAAGAGCUUUUGCAUGGCCAAAAAAAAAAAAAAAAAAAAAUGGCAGAGUAAACAGACAACCCAUAGAUUGGGUCAUUAUAUUGAAUAGUUUUCCAUAACUAUUCAAAAGCAUCAUAUAUAGAGUCACGAAUUUCCUGGCGUUUCAUGAAUUGUGGAGUAUGGUAAUGUGGAUAGUUUAUGCAUCUCCAAAAACAGUUCAUAUUGUAAACAGUACUUUCUAUAUUAUUGGAAAUAGAGUCUUUAGUAUAUUCAAGUUUGAUUAGGUUAGAGUGGUCGUUCCAUAAACCCCAAAAUGAAUUCAGAAAACUCAGUAUAGAUUCUGUUCCUUUAGAACCACUUCUGCUGUCAGAAUCAAUAUGGUUACAAUUCUCUGAAGAAAUACAAAUCUAAAAUGUAUAUAUGUAGAUAUAGAUAUAUAUGACUAAAUAUUUAUAUCUAAAUAUAUAUCUAAUAUAUGUUUAUAUUAGACUACAUAUUAUAUAUUUAUAUUAGAAUAUACAUUCUAGGUAUAUAAUAAUAUAUGUAGUAUAUGUGAGAUCCAUAUAUAUAUACAUGUAUAUAUGUGCGUGUGUGUCAUCUCAUAGGUGAAUCUAUGAAGUCUAUCUAUCUACAUAAACGUAGGAGCAGGAAUAUAUUUGAGGGAUUGCCUCAUUUCCAUUUUGUUUUCUGAAAAUUGCUACCACAACCUGUAGAACCAUGAAUUCCAGUGCCAUGGCCUCUUCCAACUGUGAAGGCCUGAAAUCAGGGGAGUCAUCAAAGUAUCCCCCAGUCUUAGACUAAAAGCCUGAGAAGCUGGGGGCCACUUGUCAAAGACCUAGAGUUCAAAGAUCAGAAGUCCUGGAAUUCUGAUGUCCAGGGGUAGAAAAAGAUGAGUGUCCCAGCUUCAGAAGAGAGAAAGCGAGCUCACCUUUCCUCUGCUUCUUUAUCAGAAACCUCAGCCGACAGAAGGGUUGUUUCCCACACUGAGUGAGGGAAAAUGUUUUUCAGUUGGUCCGUAGUUUCAAAUGUCAAUAUGAUCCAGAGUAAUCCUCACAGAUAUACCCAGAAAUAAUACCCGACCAGGUAUUGGCAUGCCACUUAAUCCAAUCCAGUUGAUACCUAAAAUUAACCAUUACGCUUGAUAUAUUCUUUAUAAAUUGACCCAUUCAUGAAGAUAGUAUACCUCAUUUUGUUAUGAUUCACUUUUUUUGUCCUUCAAAGAUAUUGAAUUUUUUAUAAGAAUUCAGCAUUUGUAGCAACCCUGCAUUGAGCAAGCCUGUUAGCACCAUUUGUCCAAUAGCAUGUGUUCACUCUGUGCCUUUUCCCCACAUUUCAGUAAUUUUUGCAAUAUUUCAGACUUUCACUGUAUUAUUAUAUCGGUGAUGGUAAUCUCCGAUCUGUAAUCUUGAUGUUAUAUUAUACUUGUUUUGGGAUACCCCAAACUGUACCCAUGUACAGCAGUGAAUGCAAUUGAUAAUUGUGUGCCUUCUGACUGCUUCAGUGACAGGUGGUUCCCCUAUCUCUUUCCCCCUGUUCAGGCCUUCCUAUACCCUAAGACACAACAGUAUUAAAACCAGGUCAAAUGGUAACGCUACAAUGGCCUCUAAAUGUUCAUGCGAAAGAAAGAAUAGCACAUCUUUCGCUUAAGCACAAAAGCUACACGUGAUUAAGCUUAUUGAGGAAUAUAUGUUGAAGGCUGAGGCAGGCUGAAAGCUAGAUCUAUUGUGUUAGUUAUUAGCCAAGUUGUGAAUGCAAAGGAAAAGUUCUUUAAGGAAACUGUAAUCCUACUUCAGUGAAUACAAAAUGAUUAAAACCCUAAACAGCCUUAUUGCUGAUAAGGAGAAAUUUUAACGAUAUGGAUAGAUCAACCAGCCACAACAUUCUCUUAAGCCAAAGCCCAAUCCAGAAGAAGACCUUAACUCUCCUCAAGUGUAUGCAGGCUCAUAGAGGUGAGGAUGCUGUGGAGAAAACGUUGGAAUCUGGUAGAGGUUGGUUAAUGAGGCUGAAUAAAAUAAGCCAUUUCCAUAACAUAACAGUGCAAAAUAAAGCAGCAAGUUCUGAUGGAGAAUCUGCAGCAGGUUAACCAGAAGAUUUAUGUAAGAUCAUUAAUGAAAGUGACUACAAUAAACAGUAGAUUUUAAAUGUAGAUGAAAGGGCCUUAUAUCAAAAAGGGUGCCACCUAGGACUUUUAUACCUAGAAGGAAGUCCAUGCCUCGCUUCAAAAGACAGGCUGACUCUCUUGUUAGGAGCUAAUGUGCCUGGUGAUUUCAAGAUGAAACCAAUGCUUUUUUAUGAUUUCAAAACCAUGCUCUAUAAAUAGAGUAAAAAAGCCUGUCUUACAGCAUAGCUCUUUUGUAGCAUGGUUAAUGAAUAUUUUGAGUCUACUGUUUAAAAUAGAAAGCAGUAUUGAAAUGUACUGCUCAAAAAGAAAAAGAGAUUCCUUUAAAAAAUUACUGUUCAAUGACAGUGCACCUUGUUAACAAAUAGUUCUAAUGCAGGGGUUAGAAAGAUUAUUUUUGUUUUUAUGACUGCUUCACAAUAUUUAUUCUUCAGUACAUGGAUAAAAGACCAAUUUUAACUUUCAAAUCUUGUUGUUCAUAAAUACAUUUCAAUCAGUUAUAGCUGCUACAGACAGUGAUUCUUGUGAUGAAUCAGGUAAAGUAAAUGGAAAGCCCUCUGGGAAGAAUUCAGCAUUCUGAAUGCCAUCACGAACACUUGUCAUUCAUAAGAAAAUGUCAAAAUAUCAACAUGAACGGAAGUUCAGAAACAGUUAAUUAGAACUCGCAUGGAUUAUUUUAAGGGGGCUAAGGAUUUGGUAACUGCAGAUGUGAUGAAAUUAGCAAGAGAAAGAGAGUGAGAAGUAGAGCCUAAAUAUGUGACUGAAUUGUAAUCUCAUGAUAAAACUUUAAAAACUUAAGAGUUCUUUCAUAUAAAUGCACAAAAAGUUGUUUCUUGGGUUGAAAUCUACCCUUUUCAUAACCAUUGUGGAUGGUGAACAUGCGUGAAUGUUGCUUCCAUGACAACCAAGGAUUUAUUAGGAAAAGAUAAUUGAUGAAAGAGUGGCUGGAUCACAGAGACCUGACUUCAACUUUCAAAGAAGUUCUACACCAUGUAAAAUGCUGUCAAACAACAUUGCACACUACAGAGAAGUCUGUCACGAAAGAAGUCAACCAAUGAGGCAAAUUUCAUUGUUGUAUUUUGUUUAAGAAAUUGCCACAGCCAUUUCAGGACUCAGCAACCAUAACCCUGAUCAGUCAGCAGCAAUCUAUAGUGAGGGAAUACUCUCUAGCAGCAAAAAGAUUACAUCCUGCUGAAGGUUCAGAUAAUUGUUAGUAUUUUACAACAAAAAAUGUUUAAAUUAAGGUAUGUGCAUUGUUUCCUUAGACAUACUAUUGCUCAACUAAAUAUAUUAAAGAAUGGUGCAAACAUAAUUUUUUUUUUUUUUGAGACGGAGUUUCGCUCUUGUUACCCAGGCUGGAGUGCAAUGGCAUGAUCUCGGCUCACCGCAACCUCUGCCUCCUGGGUUCAGGCAAUUCUCCUGCCUCAGCCUCCUGAGUAGCUGGGAUUACAGGCACGCGCCACCGUGCCCAGCUAAUUUUUUUGUAAUUUUUAGUAGAGACGGGGUUUCACCAUGUUGACCAGGAUGGUCUCGAUCUGUUGACCUUGUGAUUCACCCGCCUCGGCCUCCCAAAGUGCUGGGAUUACAGGCUUGAGUCACCACACCCGGCCCAUAAUUUUUAUGUAUAGUUGAAAUAAAAAAAUUUAUGUGAUUCAUUUUAUUAUGGUAUUUGCUUUAUGUUGGUGGUCUGGAACCUCACCUUUAAUUUAUAUAAAAUGCGCCUAUGUUUUAUCUCGGUCAGACUUUUUGACUACAUUUGGUGUGUUUCUGACUUUAGUAUAGCUGUCACAAAUCUUCUUUGGUUACUGUUUUCAUAAAAUACCUAUUUCUGCCUUUCAUGUUCACGCUAUGUUCUCAGCUGAAGUGAGUUUCUAGUUCAGAACAUAUCGUUGCAUCUUGGAUUUCUAAAAACCCAUUCUGCAAAUCUUCUUUUUGACGUGAAAAUAUAAGCCAUUUCAUUUAAUGUACAGUUAUGAAACACGUAACAACACACAUCAAGAUAUCAUUUUACACCAGUAAGAAUGGCUAUUCCUAAAAUGUGAAAAAACCCAACAGAUAUUGGUGUGGAUUCCUCAGAGGUGUUAAUUAUGGCUCAUUCAAACUGGAGUACAGUGGUGUAAUCUCAGCUCACUGUAGCCUCUGUCUCUUGGGUUCAAAUGAUUCUCCUGCCUCAGCCUCCUGAGUAGCUGGGAUUACAGGCAUGUACCGCCAUGCAUGGCGAAUUUUUGUAUUUUUGGUAGAGACAGAGUUUUGUCACAUUGGCCAGGCUGGUCUUGAACUCUUGGUCUCAAGUGAUCCGCUCACCUCAGCCUUCCCAAGUGCUGGAGGUAUAGGUCUGGGCCAAUGAUUAUGUUCAAAUCUUCCCUCCAAAGGGAGACACAAGUAAAAAUUAUGGGAUGUGAGGAUUAUUCACCAAUUUAUUGUAAUUAGUUUCUACUUUUAUGAAUAAUAUUUAACAGAAUUACAAAUUAUAUUAAAAGAGUUACCAAUUUUUUUGGGAAGUUACUUUUGAUGGUUUCUUAUAAAACAGGAUGAAAGAUACAAAUACUGUAAGGCACUGUUUGUUUGCAUAUUGCAAAUAAUGUCCAAAGACCAAACAUUGUUAAUAAUUAAUAUUCCAAUAAACAUUAUGUCAGGAUUUCUGUGUUUUCUUUUACC